RNAcentral lists this ribosomal RNA (465 nucleotides) under uncultured bacterium. RNAcentral's name for it is "partial 16S ribosomal RNA". It matches the Rfam family "Bacterial small subunit ribosomal RNA", at positions 28 to 507 of the family's 1533-position model. The record is from RNAcentral.
GACGAACGCUGGCGGCGUGCUUAACACAUGCAAGUCGAACGGAAAGGCCCCUUUGGGGGUACUCGAGAGGCGAACGGGUGAGUAACACGUGAGUAACCUGCCCUUGACUUCGGGAUAACUUCAGGAAACUGGGGCUAAUACCGGAUAGGAAUCCUUGCUGCAUGGUGGGGGUUGGAAAGCUUCGGCGGUUUUGGAUGGACUCGCGGCUUAUCAGCUUGUUGGUGGGGUAGUGGCUUACCAAGGCUUUGACGGGUAGCCGGCCUGAGAGGGCGACCGGCCACAUUGGGACUGAGAUACGGCCCAGACUCCUACGGGAGGCAGCAGUGGGGAAUAUUGCACAAUGGGCGGAAGCCUGAUGCAGCAACGCCGCGUGCGGGAUGACGGCCUUCGGGUUGUAAACCGCUUUCAGCAGGGGCGAAGCUUGUGGUGACGGUACCUGCAGAAGAAGCACCGGCUAACUACGUG